This is a long non-coding RNA of Fukomys damarensis (Damara mole-rat), 257 nucleotides long. RefSeq lists it as uncharacterized. NCBI's taxonomy places the organism in Eukaryota, Metazoa, Chordata, Mammalia, Rodentia, Bathyergidae. The transcript is spliced from 3 exons. The record is from RefSeq and is a predicted model, not a curated record.
CCUCCAGUACCCAUUAUUCUUUAGGGCUAUUUUGAUUCUCCCAGCCUCCUGGCUUCGUGUCUUGGACCAGGAUGCUAACAUCCAUCUCUCAGUGGCUGCCCUGCCACCAAGAGCCCAGAUAUGACACACCUGGGAAAUGCUUUCCUCUAACAUCUGGAGCUGCUGGUUUGGAAGCGAGAUAGAGACAGCUAAAAAGUGCUAAUUCAAGCUGGGUGUGGUGAUGUACACUUAUAAUCCUAGCACACAGAAGACUGAGG